GGUUUGGGGGAUGCUGAUGAUCUUGAAGAUGCUUCAGACUGGGACUCUGCCAGCACCACCAGUAAGGCCAGUAAGAAAUUCCCAGUUCAUAAGCUGGAUGAGGAACCCGUCUUUGAAAGCCCAGCAGCUUCCGCACUACCCAUAACAUCCGAGGAACAGGACGUGGACACCAGAGAACAUAAAGAAGCCAGUCCAGAGAGAAACAAACCCACAACCUCAAGCACAACACCUCUACCUAGUCCACGAUCUCUCAACCCAAACGCCAGCUCAAAACCACAACCACUGCCACUGCCACGACUGCGCUUGGACUCCAAUCAGAGGCCGGAGAGUGAAGGUAGAACUCAGAAACUACAAAUCUUAGAUUUAUUCUCUUAGCUUUUGAGGUGAUUUCAAUAAAUAUAUAUGCUGAUACAAAAUUUAUUUAAAUACAGAAUCGGACUGGGAUUUGGAAACUUCCAGUCCAGCCAAGAUGACAAAUUCACUGCCAAACGUCGCUGAGCCUGAUGCAGUUCAUCGGCAGGAACCCAAAGCUGAAGAUGUCGAGAGUGAAGACAGUUCUUACGCAAGUGAAGAUGCAGAUCAGGGUAAUAAGGAACAGUUGGAUGGUAUGAGGGGAGAACAGCAGCCCAGUGCUUUAUGGGAUACUAGAGGAACCAGAGAAGGAGGUGAACUUGACCAAGGAGAAGGGAAGGAAACUGACAACAACUCUGGGAACCCGAAACCUCAACCGGAAGAGAUGGCUAACGGCAGGUCUUUGGGAAGAGAGGGUAGUGUUUCACCAAGACAUCUGACAAGAAGUCCAAGAAGUACUGACAGGGCACGACCACAUGGUGAGGAAGACGAAGAGGAGGAAAAGAAAACUGUAGGUAGCCAAGCCAGAAAUCUCCGUGUAGCUCCCCCUCUGCAGGGCAAACCCUCCCGACCUGCGACCCACCAUAACGGAGACCUCGAGUCUGUUUUUGAUGAUAGUACUUUAAGUGAGCUAUCGGAAGAGGACAG
RNAcentral lists this long non-coding RNA (999 nucleotides) under Sinocyclocheilus anshuiensis. RNAcentral's name for it is "lncRNA (ENSSANG00000025551.1)". The record is from RNAcentral. Lineage: Eukaryota; Metazoa; Chordata; Actinopteri; Cypriniformes; Cyprinidae.